CCUACGGGAGGCAGCAGUGAGGAAUAUUGGUCAAUGGACGAGAGUCUGAACCAGCCAAGUAGCGUGAAGGAUGACUGCCCUAUGGGUUGUAAACUUCUUUUAUAUGGGAAUAAAAUGUUCCACGUGUGGGAUUUUGUAUGUACCAUAUGAAUAAGGAUCGGCUAACUCCGUGCCAGCAGCCGCGGUAAUACGGCGGAUCCGAGCGUUAUCCGGAUUUAUUGGGUUUAAAGGGGGCGUAGGUGGUUUGUUACGUCAGUUGUGCAAUUUUGCGGCUCAACCGUAAAAUUGCAGUUGACACUGGCAGUCUUGAGUACAUUAGAGUUGGGCGGCAUUCGUGGUGUAGCGGUGAAAUGCUUAGAUAUCAC
Molecule: ribosomal RNA, 365 nt
Filed under: uncultured bacterium
Lineage: Bacteria
Description: partial 16S ribosomal RNA
Rfam family: Bacterial small subunit ribosomal RNA
Source: RNAcentral